RNAcentral lists this ribosomal RNA (884 nucleotides) under uncultured archaeon. RNAcentral's name for it is "bacterial SSU rRNA". It matches the Rfam family "Archaeal small subunit ribosomal RNA", at positions 30 to 922 of the family's 1478-position model. The record is from RNAcentral.
CAAAUGGAUGAACUAAGCCAUGCGAGUCAUUGUAGCAAUACAAGGCAUACGGCUCAGUAACGCGUAGUCAACCUAACCUAUGGACGGGAAUAACCUCGGGAAACUGAGAAUAAUGCCCGAUAGAACAUUAUGCCUGGAAUGGUUUAUGUUCCAAAUGAUUUAUUGCCGUAGGAUGGGACUGCGGCCUAUCAGUUUGUUGGUGAGGUAAUGGCCCACCAAGACUAUUACAGGUACGGGCUCUGAGAGGAGUAGCCCGGAGAUGGGUACUGAGACACGGACCCAGGCCCUAUGGGGCGCAGCAGGCGAGAAAACUUUGCAAUGUGCGAAAGCACGACAAGGUUAAUCCGAGUGGUUUCUGCUAAAGAAACCUUUUGUCAGUCCUAGAAACACUGAUGAAUAAGGGGUGGGCAAGUUCUGGUGUCAGCCGCCGCGGUAAAACCAGCACCUCAAGUGGUCAGGAUGAUUAUUGGGCCUAAAGCAUCCGUAGCCGGCUCUGUAAGUUUUCGGUUAAAUCUGUACGCUCAACGUACAGGCUGCCGGGAAUACUGCAGAGCUAGGGAGUGGGAGAGGUAGACGGUACUCGGUAGGAAGGGGUAAAAUCCUUUGAUCUAUUGAUGACCACCUGUGGCGAAGGCGGUCUACCAGAACACGUCCGACGGUGAGGGAUGAAAGCUGGGGGAGCAAACCGGAUUAGAUACCCGGGUAGUCCCAGCUGUAAACUAUGCAAACUCAGUGAUGCAUUGGCUUGUGGCCAAUGCAGUGCUGCAGGGAAGCCGUUAAGUUUGCCGCCUGGGAAGUACGUACGCAAGUAUGAAACUUAAAGGAAUUGGCGGGGGAGCACCACAAGGGGUGAAGCCUGCGGUUCAAUUGGAUUCAACGCCGGG